RNAcentral lists this ribosomal RNA (301 nucleotides) under uncultured bacterium. RNAcentral's name for it is "partial 16S ribosomal RNA". It matches the Rfam family "Bacterial small subunit ribosomal RNA", at positions 509 to 808 of the family's 1533-position model. The record is from RNAcentral.
CAGUCGCCGCGGUAACACGUAGGUCCCGAGCGUUGUCCGGAUUUAUUGGGCGUAAAGCGAGCGCAGGCGGUUAGAUAAGUCUGAAGUUAAAGGCUGUGGCUUAACCAUAGUACGCUUUGGAAACUGUUUAACUUGACUGCAAGAGGGGAGAGUGGAAUUCCAUGUGUAGCGGUGAAACGCGUAGAUAUAUGGAGGAACACCGGUGGCGAAAGCGGCUCUCUGGCUUGUAACUGACGCUGAGGCUCGAAAGCGUGGGGAGCAAACAGGAUUAGAUACCCCCGUAGUCCCUGUCUCUUAUACA